Molecule: non-coding RNA, 1120 nt
Organism: Python bivittatus (Burmese python)
Lineage: Eukaryota; Metazoa; Chordata; Lepidosauria; Squamata; Pythonidae
Source: RefSeq, a predicted model, not a curated record
AAGUUGAAAACCUCUGCUGAAGCUAUUUCUCCCGGAUUUCCCACUCCCAGUAUUAACCCAGGGGAAGGACCCAUCUGGCUGUUAUAACAGGAAGCCUAAUCCAGUCCUAUGCACCAGACUUGAAUGAAGCACAGAAGAGAUUGCAUCCUCUACAGAGCGAUUCCGCCGAUAACAAACUGAAGUGGACCAAACAAAGGAGGGAGUCUGGAAACAGUGUAAUCCUUCAUCAACCUCUCAGUACAUUUCAUCACAAUGGGAGGUUUUCCUUCAGAGCUGAUCUCUGUCGCAUGAAGAAUGGCAAGUAUUUUUCACCAAAUGAUGGCCAAAAGACAAAGGGAAGAGAGCCAUUUGGUCAGAAGGAGAAGACUGCAAAUAAAAGUAUUCCUGGAUAGAGAUACCUGGAUGUCUAUUUGAGCACAUUGACCUGGUCUUUAUAGUAUCUGAGUGCAGGUUGGUAAUUUGGAACUGGUUCAGUCAUGUAAGCUGCUUCCCGCAACAAUGGUAGAACCAGUCAUUAGUUUACUUCCUACAUCACAUUAAGCUCCGUUUUAAUCUUGAAUAAACUAUGAUUGGCUAGGUUUCCACAACAUGCUGAGCUGUAAACUAUGGUUUACAAGCUAUGGGCUGGGUUUAUGCACCACGUUCAGCUUAAAGCAAACCACAUUGCUUAAGGCAGUGUUGAAAACUGUCACUUUCUUAGACUUUGGUGAAACUGACAUUUGCUGAAAGACAUUUUCUCUCUCAAUAGUGUUUGCUGUUUCUUUAUAACCUAUGAAAUAAUACCAGUCACCUCCAAUUGCUAACCCAGUUUGGAAUAAACCUAAGUGAUUGAUCACCUUGACCCUUCAAAGUCUGUCAUGGAUGCUGGAGAAAAGAGAGGGAGAGACAGAAACAGAAUAUAUCCAAGAUGAAGAAUGAUUUCUCUGCAAUUUGUUUCAGUGAUGAUGUUAAAUAUUUGCCACUCCCUGACUAUCUUCUAUUCCUGAGUAAAUGUAUAUAAUAACAUUUUUCUGUAUACAUGUUCAUUAUUUACUAACUUGCUUCCACAAAUUCAGUUAACUUGAUGUCUUUGUCUGAUUCCUUUUAGGGAGGGGUGGGUCUAUUAAUAUAGAGAUUCUAU